ACUAUACUCCCUCCAUCCCAUAUUAAGUGACUCAAAUUUAUACAAAUAUGUAUGUAUGUAUGCCUAAAAAACGCUUAGAUACAUGUAAUAAAAAGUCACUUAAUAUGGGACGGAGGGAGUACUUA
Molecule: non-coding RNA, 125 nt
Organism: Brachypodium distachyon (stiff brome)
Lineage: Eukaryota; Viridiplantae; Streptophyta; Magnoliopsida; Poales; Poaceae
Source: Rfam